Prunus mume (Japanese apricot) is the source of this 909-nucleotide non-coding RNA. The record is from RefSeq and is a predicted model, not a curated record. Lineage: Eukaryota; Viridiplantae; Streptophyta; Magnoliopsida; Rosales; Rosaceae.
GACAGGCAACAUUAUGGACCCUGAAUUCCCUAAUUGUUGCUUAUGGAGAUAAAAUUGGCUCAUCUGCUUAUGAAGUUAUUAUUGUAUAACUUGCCACACUGAUAAGUGAUUCAGACUUGCAUAUGACGGCCCUCACCCUGGAACUCUGCUGCACCUUGAUGGCAGACAGGUCAAGCCUGGUUGUUGGAUUGGCUUUUAGAAACGAAGUUCUUCCGCAAGCACUAAUGUUAAUUAAGAGCUCAUUGCUGCAGGGGCAAGCCCUUUUGGCAUUGCAAAACUUUUUUUGCUUCCUUGGUGUAUUCUGCAAACACAAGUUUUGAUACCUUACUAGACUUUCUGCUAUCAAGUGCUAAACCGUCUCCCCACUCAGGUGGGGUUGCAAAACAAGCUUUGUAUUCAAUAGCUCAAUGUGCGGCUGUCCUUUGCCUUGCUGCUGGUGAUCAGCAAUGUUCAUCUAUUGUGAAAGCGCUAACUGAAAUUCUGAAAGAUGACAGCAGUAUAAAUUCGUGGUGAAGAUUGCAGCCUUGAGUUCAAGAAUAUGAAUGAAAUCUCAAAAUCUCCAAUUCUCUCGGACAAGUAUUAUUCCAUCCGAAAUGAAUGAUGGACUAGUUGGAACUCGUCUGUCUUACUGUGAUGUCAAGGUUUCGCGCAGCCACCGAGGAAGAUUGUAUCAUUAUUUUGUCGUGUGCAGGCUGGGCUUCUCUGUGGCAGAUUACACGGAAGUUGAAAAUGAAGUUAAGAAUUCAAAGCUGCAUGAACACAUCUUUAUCGUGGGAAUACCAGGUUCAAGUCAUUGCGAUGUUUUUGCCUUUGCAACUAACCAUCAUUUGGUUACAUGAUGUGUUGCUGGACAGAUUAUAUAGGGUGUGGAAUCAACGAAAUUUUUGUCAUUGAAUUUUUUAUUUUUUA